AUUAAACAAAAAAGAAAGAGAAGAAGAAAAAGAAAAAGUCAUGAAAAAUUCCCAAGUUUCUGCUCUACUUUUCCUGUUGGUUCUUCUUUUCUCUACUGGGAAAGAGGUGGUAGCGACGGAAAAUGGACGCAGCUGCAGUGAAGGAAUAAAAAUGGCAGGACCUUGCAAAAACCCAGAAUGCUCGAAUUUAUGUAAGGAACGCCAUGGAGAUGAAGCCAUCGGAGUUUGUCUUGGUGGUUGCUUUUGUCGAUACCCUUGUCUUUCUUCUUAAAUCCAAUUAAUGUUUGAUGUGCUACAUCAUAGCUUUAAUAAUGCCAAAACCCCUCUAAUUAAAUUCAAUAAAACUCACAUCUAUUCAUCUUUUCA
Molecule: long non-coding RNA, 366 nt
Organism: Gossypium raimondii (Peruvian cotton)
Lineage: Eukaryota; Viridiplantae; Streptophyta; Magnoliopsida; Malvales; Malvaceae
Exons: 2
Source: RefSeq, a predicted model, not a curated record